This 74-nucleotide transfer RNA is filed under the name Mycoplasmatota bacterium. Its description in RNAcentral is "Tenericutes bacterium (anaerobic digester metagenome) tRNA-Thr". It matches the Rfam family "tRNA". Rfam says of the family: Transfer RNA (tRNA) molecules are approximately 80 nucleotides in length. Lineage: Bacteria; Bacillati; Mycoplasmatota. The record is from RNAcentral.
GCCGAUUUAGUUAAGUGGUAUAAUAGGUCCUUGGUAAGGAUCAGUGAACAGUUCAAUUCUGUUAAUCGGCACCA